Molecule: unclassified non-coding RNA, 265 nt
Filed under: Hevea brasiliensis (rubber tree)
Lineage: Eukaryota; Viridiplantae; Streptophyta; Magnoliopsida; Malpighiales; Euphorbiaceae
Source: RNAcentral
UGCUCAUAGAUGUCCUUGACAGCAUUUUCUGUGAUUCCUCUCAUGGUAAACGUCUUACCACUACUAGUUUGCCCAUAUACAAAGAUCGUUGCAUUAAUUCCCAUAAGAGCAGAGAGAGCAACAUUCUUAGCCCCUUCUUCAUAAACCCUUUGAGUUGAGCAAGUAGGAUCAAAAACUUGAUCAAAAGUGUAUGCUGUUGCUGGCCGCUCAUGAUUUGGAUUCUUGAAGACUAUUGUGUGAUCAUCCGGGCAAUCCCAAGCGAUAA